RNAcentral lists this long non-coding RNA (645 nucleotides) under Mustela putorius furo (domestic ferret). Its description in RNAcentral is "lncRNA (ENSMPUG00000029993.1)". Lineage: Eukaryota; Metazoa; Chordata; Mammalia; Carnivora; Mustelidae. The record is from RNAcentral.
AUGCCUGUGUUUUGUUUUUUUUACGUAGAAACAACAAAGCUGUAUUUGAGCAUGAACUGUAUUAUUUUUCUUCCAGGCGACCCUAUCAUGUCCUGUUCAUUUCUUUUAAGAGGAAGGAGAACAGACCAGGCUUUGAAAUCUUCCUCACACCCGUGUGACCUCUGGUGUGUCUGUCAGCUAACUGCCUUCUUCCCAGGCAGGGUGAAGGAAAGACCCUCUGACCACCCAGACCUCUCCUCUACAAGGCUUGCAGAAGAGGUGUCCCUGUACUACAGAAGUCACAUAAAGAAAGACGCACAAAAGCCACAUGGUUGGGAAAUAGCUCAGAACUCAACUUAACAAUCCCCAAGGCCAACUGGCUCUCCGGGUAGAGGGUGAGAUCAUGCGUGCUGCAUCAGUGUGAGACUGCAUGAGACGGUCCCCAGACAGCUGGGGGCCUCCCCCGGCCUGGGAAAUGUGUGUCCUCAACCACAGGGCUGCCUGAGAAGAGAAGGUCGACGAAAUUCAGCAAACACAAGACCACAGCCAGGAAAUGAAUGCAGUUUCUACGGAUGGAGAACUGUCUGUCUCUUCCUAGGGGAAGAGCAGCACAUUUUCUAUAUAAGCAUGAGAACCAAUACUUUUGUAAAUUAUCUGCUUGUGUGC